UGGACAGGAAGACCAUAUUCUGUGUGUCUACUCAUCUGUUGACGGACAUUUGAGUUGCUCCCUCUCCUCUGCUGCGGUGAAUAAUACAGAGGAGGUCAUGGCGGCUGUGCCCACAUCCUGGCUGCUGUGAAUAACGCUGCCACUGACAGGAACUUGAGAGCGCAGGCACUUCACUGAGGGUCUGGUUGCCAGUUUGAGUAAGCCCAGAAGUGGGGCUGCUGGAUUCCCAGAGCUUCACAACUGCUUCUCUCAACUACUGUUUUCCACAUCCAGACUUUGGCUGAUCAGCUCUGCCCUCAGCCCUGACCUGCAACUUGCCUGUAGGCCUGCCUGGGGCCGGUUCACUAGUCAGGGGUUCUCCUGUUGCUGCCCUCACCUGGCUAGGGUCCCAGAGCUGGUCACUCUGUGUACCAUGCACACACUUCUGCCAAGCAUCCAGGACAUGUUGAUGCUACGGCACAGACUUGUCCAGAAGCUCAGAUGUUUCUUGCUUUGACAAAUGCCCACCCAGAAGGCAGAGCCCAGAACAAAAACACCAAAAUGAAAAGCAGUGCCUA
Long non-coding RNA from Mus musculus (house mouse), 557 nucleotides. RefSeq annotates it as predicted gene, 41188. The transcript has 3 exons. The record is from RefSeq and is a predicted model, not a curated record. Lineage: Eukaryota; Metazoa; Chordata; Mammalia; Rodentia; Muridae.